This 238-nucleotide ribosomal RNA is filed under the name uncultured bacterium. RNAcentral's name for it is "partial 16S ribosomal RNA". It matches the Rfam family "Bacterial small subunit ribosomal RNA", at positions 28 to 263 of the family's 1533-position model. The record is from RNAcentral.
GAUGAACGCUAGCGGCAGGCCUAAUACAUGCAAGUCGGACGGGAUUGGGGAGCUUGCUUCCCAUGAGAGUGGCGCACGGGUGCGUAACACGUAUGUAACCUACCUUUAUCUGGGGAUAGCCUCUCGAAAGAGAGAUUAAUACCGCAUAAAAUCACAAUGCAGCAUUGCAAAAUAGAUACAAAUAAUUUAUAGGAUAAAGAUGGGCAUGCGGAACAUUAGCUAGAUGGUGAGGUAACGG